Cynara cardunculus var. scolymus (artichoke) is the source of this 656-nucleotide long non-coding RNA. RefSeq lists it as uncharacterized. NCBI's taxonomy places the organism in Eukaryota, Viridiplantae, Streptophyta, Magnoliopsida, Asterales, Asteraceae. The record is from RefSeq and is a predicted model, not a curated record. The transcript is spliced from 6 exons.
CAAAUGCAUAUUAAUUCCAUCUUUUCCUCUCGUGUCCAGAUUUGGAUCUUUCUGCAUAAACUUGGAUCUUCGUUAUACUGCUUCUAACAUCAUCCAGUUGCAUGAAAAGCAUGUUGUUCGAUCACACAACAUGCCUGAUUCUUGGGACUGACAUCCUCUUUCAGGAGGUUGUGUUGAAGUUGCAGUUUCACCUGGAAGGAGAUGUUCAACCUAUGUCAAAAGUUAUGAGAUCAUAAAGCAUAAUACUCAUCCCUCAAUGUGCGCUCAAUGUUUAGCAAGCAGCAGAAAUGCAGAAUUACUAACCCCUUUCAAAAUUGGAUGAGAGUCUGGAAGCUCAUACCUGCAGCAGAGCCAGAGUAUGGAAGCAGCUUGUGGAUUCAGUGCAACCAAUGCUUUGGACAUAUCGCCUUCCAUGCUAUCUUGCAUUUUCUGUGAAAUGCCAACAUAUGAGGCAAUGAAGUUGUAGUACCUUUAUUCUAUCAGCCAGCAAGUUGUUCAUUCCACGUUCCCUGAUAGCAUCUGAGAUCUCAUUGACAUGCGCCCGUCUCAAUGCUUCGUAGUCGACUGUUCCCUUUCUUACCUUUGGGAUAUUUGUGCCUGCCCCACUUAAUGGUUCAUGAGAAGCAUAAUUCUGCUCCUUUGAGUUGGCUUCGGCG